RNAcentral lists this ribosomal RNA (300 nucleotides) under uncultured Phycisphaerae bacterium. RNAcentral describes it as "bacterial SSU rRNA". It matches the Rfam family "Bacterial small subunit ribosomal RNA", at positions 115 to 402 of the family's 1533-position model. Lineage: Bacteria; Pseudomonadati; Planctomycetota; Phycisphaerae. The record is from RNAcentral.
GGAUAGCUAACGUACCUUUAACCGGGGCAUAGCCAGUCGAAAGAUUGGGUAAUUCCCUAUAAAGUCAUUAGGCAGCAUUGUUUGAUGACCAAAGAUGAGGACCGCAAGGCUUAUCGGUUUUAGAGCGGGCUAUCUCCUAUCAGCUAGUUGGUGUGGUAACGGCGCACCAAGGCUAUGACGGGUAGCUGGUCUGAGAGGACGACCAGCCACAUUGGCACUGAGGCACUGGCCAGACUCCUACGGGGGCUGCAGCAACGAAUCUUCCCCAAUGGGCGAAAGCCUGAGGGAGCGACGCCGCGU